Molecule: ribosomal RNA, 613 nt
Filed under: Eupholus geoffroyi
Lineage: Eukaryota; Metazoa; Arthropoda; Insecta; Coleoptera; Curculionidae
Description: SSU rRNA
Rfam family: Eukaryotic small subunit ribosomal RNA
Source: RNAcentral
CUGCCAGUAGUCAUAUGCUUGUCUCAAAGAUUAAGCCAUGCAUGUCUCAGUACAAGCCAAAUAAGGUAAACCGCGAAAGGCUCAUAAAUCAGUUAUGGUUCCUUAGAUCGUACCCACAAUUACUUGGAUAACUGUGGUAAUUCUAGAGCUAAUACAUGCAAACAGAGCUCCGACCGGAGACGGAAGGAGUGCUUUUAUUAGAUCAAAACCAAUCGGUGGCGAGUUCGCUCGUCAUCGUACAACUUGGUGACUCUGAAUAACUUUACGCUGAUCGCACGGUCUCGCACCGGCGACGCAUCUUUCAAAUGUCUGCCUUAUCAACUGUCGAUGGUAGGUUCUGCGCCUACCAUGGUUGUAACGGGUAACGGGGAAUCAGGGUUCGAUUCCGUAGAGGGAGCCUGAGAACGGCUACCACAUCCAAGGAAGGCAGCAGGCGCGCAAAUUACCCACUCCCGGCACGGGGAGGUAGUGACGAAAAAUAACGAUACGGGACUCAUCCGAGGCCCCGUAAUCGGAAUGAGUACACUCUAAACCCUUUAACGAGGAUCAAUUGGAGGGCAAGUCUGGUGCCAGCAGCCGCGGUAAUUCCAGCUCCAAUAGCGUAUAUUAAAGU